Molecule: long non-coding RNA, 549 nt
Filed under: Homo sapiens (human)
Lineage: Eukaryota; Metazoa; Chordata; Mammalia; Primates; Hominidae
Description: CEP250 antisense RNA 1
Source: RNAcentral
AUACUGCCGGAACUGUGGCUAAUGGUGCGGACCACCCUGCUCACUGUUAGCAAAGUGGGUAGCUACCCUCUCUUCUGGAAGCCCCUCUGCAGCACUCCUCUUGGGAGUAGAAAAGGAAGUGGUCAAGGUCGACCUGCAAAGCAUUUCUCGCCUGCUCUGCGGCCUCCAUUCUGCUGCACACAGACUGGUUCUCCUCCUCUAACUACUGGCCAAAAAGGGAAGGGAGUACAAGCAUCAAAGACAAAUGACCUACAUUUGGGAGCUGAUCCGUCUUGCUCUCAGUUAGGGCCCAGCCCUUCUGUGGGGACCAGGAAAAUCUUUGCUCACCUGGAGAAGCUGCUGGUUCAGCCCAACUUUAUCUAACGCCAAAGCCUCAUUUAAGGCACUGAGCUUGACAGCUGCAGCCCGAAGAUCAGCUACUUCUGUCUUCAGGGUGUUUUCAGAACUCGACAGCUCUGCAAUUGACUGCUCUGCCUAAAAAACAAAAAGGAUUAAAGAGUUUCAUAUUUCCAAUUUUCCUGGAACAGUAAACAGUUCACAUUCCCAACA